Molecule: ribosomal RNA, 385 nt
Filed under: uncultured bacterium
Lineage: Bacteria
Description: bacterial SSU rRNA
Rfam family: Bacterial small subunit ribosomal RNA
Source: RNAcentral
UGGGGAAUAUUGGACAAUGGGGGCAACCCUGAUCCAGCCAUGCCGCGUGGGUGAAGAAGGCCUUCGGGUUGUAAAGCCCUUUUGGCGGGGAGGAAGAGUGCGAGGUGAAUAAUCUUGCGCUUUGACGUUACCCGCAGAAUAAGCACCGGCAAACUCCGUGCCAGCAGCCGCGGUAAUACGGAGGGUGCGAGCGUUAAUCGGAAUUACUGGGCGUAAAGCGCAUGCAGGCGGUUUGUUAAGUCAGAUGUGAAAGCCCCGGGCUUAACCUGGGAACUGCAUUUGAAACUGGCAGACUGGAGUCCUGGAGAGGGGGGUAGAAUUUCCGGUGUAGCGGUGAAAUGCGUAGAUAUCGGAAGGAAUACCAGUGGCGAAGGCGGCCCCCUGG